RNAcentral lists this transfer RNA (65 nucleotides) under Promirotermes redundans. RNAcentral's name for it is "tRNA-Asp". Lineage: Eukaryota; Metazoa; Arthropoda; Insecta; Blattodea; Termitidae. The record is from RNAcentral. RNAcentral also lists the same sequence under 2 other names.
AAAGGAUUAGUUAAUAAAAUAACAUCAGAAUGUCAAACUGAAAUAAUCGAUAAAGAUAUCCUUUU